This is a long non-coding RNA of Chelonia mydas (Green sea turtle), 681 nucleotides long. RefSeq lists it as uncharacterized. NCBI's taxonomy places the organism in Eukaryota, Metazoa, Chordata, Testudines, Cheloniidae. The record is from RefSeq and is a predicted model, not a curated record. The transcript has 5 exons.
CAGAGGCAGCAUUAACCAACUCUCACGUCAUCUUGACAUAAAGAUUUGUCUCUUUCCAGCAGAACACAAACAGCUAGUACUCACCCGUAUUCUGAACUGGCAUCUCUCUGAAGCUGUUACCUACAUCUCCAGAAUAUCAGCUUUCGUAUUUUUUAAAAAGUUUAGGAAGGAGAAUCUGCAAAGAACUACUGGCCUCCACCCUUCCCAGCUGCCAUAAUGGAAAACCACAGCGCCACCGUGAAUCCGCAAAGAAGCUGGGACCAGGCCUAAGGGGCAGCACUCCUCAGUUAUGCAUGGUUCCAUCUACCAGAAUCUACCAGGGCAUGCUUGCUUAUGCACACAGAAGCAGAGGGGAGCAUUUUACUUGUCCAGCCUGGGCCAGAGACUACUCGAACUAGUGCUGGGUACCAGUUCAACUCCGGAACAACUACUCAUCAAACAUGAAGUCAGUGCAACUGAGGAUUCCACCCAGAGGAGUAAGAGCUCCCAAAAAGUCCAGACCAGCUACAGACCUCAGAGGAACGGUAUAUUGACCAUCGAACGCAGAUGCAGAUGCAGCCUGCAAACCACCUCCCAGGGACAGGUAUUGAAAUUUUGCUAUUAAAUCGACUCUGUCAUUUGGAGAGGAGAAAAUCAAUGUUAAGUACCGCUCUUUUUCUUCCAAGAACCAAACUAGCAGGC